AUUUUGGACAAUGGGGGAAUCCCGGAUCCAGCAAUCCGCCUGGGGCGAGGAUGGCUUCCGGGCUGAAAGGCAUUUUUGGCAGGGAGGAAAGGGGCCUGGUUAGUACCUGAGGUUGCUGACGGCACUUGCAAAUUAAGCACCGGCAACCAACGGUCCACGAGCCGGGGUAAUACGUAGGGUGCAAGAGUUCAUCGGAAUUACGGGGCGUAAAGCGUGCGCAGGCGGUUUGGCAAGAAGGAUGUGCGAUACCAGGGCUUAAACUUGGAACUGCAUUCUUAACUGCCAGGCUAGAGUAUGUCAGAGGGGGGUAGAAUUCCGCGUGUAGCAGUGAAAUGCGUAGAGAUGCGGAGGAAUACCGAUGGCGAAGGCAGCCCCCUGGGAUAAUACUGACGCUCAUGCACGAAAGCGUGGGGAGCAAACAG
Molecule: ribosomal RNA, 422 nt
Filed under: uncultured bacterium
Lineage: Bacteria
Description: partial 16S ribosomal RNA
Rfam family: Bacterial small subunit ribosomal RNA
Source: RNAcentral